RNAcentral lists this long non-coding RNA (1073 nucleotides) under Oncorhynchus mykiss (rainbow trout). RNAcentral describes it as "lncRNA (ENSOMYG00000063370.1)". Lineage: Eukaryota; Metazoa; Chordata; Actinopteri; Salmoniformes; Salmonidae. The record is from RNAcentral.
AUGAAUAUAACAUCACUUCCUUGUUUGCAGCUUGCCAGGAGAAGAGGGGUGACGGGAGGAGAAGGUUCCACAGCAUCACCUAGCUUGGAGAGCAGCCGGAGUCUCAUUCUAUUGUGGGCCAAGGAGCUGGACCAGCUCCAAAAGACAUCCACACCAACAACAGAGGUUCAGAUGAUGAGAGGAAAGAGGAUUCCAGGUGGAGGAGGGAAAGACAAAAGUUUGGAGAAAGAGAAUCAGAGAAUAUUGGAAUGGGCAACAGAACUGAAGAAUGUAUCAGAGGUGUGUGGGCUGUCAGACGAGGACCUGAAGCGUCUGUUGGGACCGCGGGGGGUCAGGGAGUCUAGGCUAGCUGGCGUUCUGCCAUUGCUGGAGUUCGUUGCCUGGUCUCUACUGUCAAAUGACACUGAGGUGAGAGAAUAGUGUGUGUGUGUGUGUGUGUGUGUGUGUGUGUGUGUGUGUGUGUGUGUGUGUGUGUGUGUGUGUGUGUGUGUGUGUGUGUGUGUGUGUGUGUGUGUGUGUGUGUGUGUGUGUGUGUGUGUGAGAGAGAGAGAGAGAAAGGUAUGUUUUGACUAAUUCUACCCUAGACUUUCUAGGCUGCUGUAGCCAUGCUGCCAUAUGAAUAUAAACACUCUGGCAAUUCAUCUCCCUGCUUGUCGUGUCAGGAGGACGUAUCAAAGCUGUGGUUGUCAACCAAACAGAGAGCAUGGAGAACUGGUGAGAGCUCACUGUUGAAUUCCCCAUCCUGUUUUCUCCUCGCACUCUCUCUCCCUCUCUUUCUCUCUCUCUUGCUCUCUCACCCCCCCCUCUCUCUUCCGCACCCAGUUAUUAUUGCACUAAUCUCUUCUUCUCAUUGCAAAUAGGAAGCCAAAAGUACAUCCCUAAUUCUGUAUGGCAAUGGAUUCACAGUGCUUCAAGUAGGAAGAAAUAAUAACUAACAUUUAUCACAGUAACACAUACAAUUACAUUGAAAUCAUGCUGACAUAAAUAUUUUCAUUUUUCAAUAAAUUAAGAAUCACUUAAUGAAUGAAACAUUGAGUAUCAUGUUGAAGGAUUUUGAGAGGAAACAAACAAGG